CCUACGGGGGGCAGCAGUCGAGAAUCAUUCACAAUGGGGGAAACCCUGAUGGUGCGACGCCGCGUGGGGGAAUGAAGGUCUUCGGAUUGUAAACCCCUGUCAUGUGGGAGCAAAUUAAAAAGAUAGUACCACAAGAGGAAGAGACGGCUAACUCUGUGCCAGCAGCCGCGGUAAUACAGAGGUCUCAAGCGUUGUUCGGAAUCACUGGGCGUAAGGCGUGCGUAGGCUGUUUCGUAAGUCGGGUGUGAAAGGCGCGGGCUCAACCCGCGGACGGCACAUGAUACUGCGAGACUAGAGUAAUGGAGGGGGAACCGGAAUUCUCGGUGUAGCAGUGAAAUGCGUAGAUAUCGAGAGGAACACUCGUGGCGAAGGCGGGUUCCUGGACAUUAACUGACGCUGAGGCACGAAGGCCAGGGGAGCGAAAGGGAUUAGAUACCCCAGUAGUC
Molecule: ribosomal RNA, 446 nt
Filed under: uncultured bacterium
Lineage: Bacteria
Description: partial 16S ribosomal RNA
Rfam family: Bacterial small subunit ribosomal RNA
Source: RNAcentral